Molecule: long non-coding RNA, 35809 nt
Filed under: Spirodela polyrhiza (greater duckweed)
Lineage: Eukaryota; Viridiplantae; Streptophyta; Magnoliopsida; Alismatales; Araceae
Description: long non-coding RNA (SPOL_LNC000713)
Source: RNAcentral
AAAAAAAAAGGGUUCAGAGUUAUUCUCAGGCAAAUUCAGACUGUGGGGAGUACUGCAGAUUAAACGAGAGAUCUCUAAAGUGGAAACCCACCAUCUAACCAAGGAUUCAAGAAGAAUUGAGGAUUUUAAAGCGACAUGAAAAGAGAAGGGGAGGAGUUGCAGACCUUAUCGUCUGCAUGUCCGAUGAUUGCAGGUCCCCAUGAGCCAACAUAGUCGAUGUAUUCAUUCCCAUCAACAUCCCACAUCUUGGAGCCCUUGACAGAAUCGAACACGAUGGGCUGGCCGCCAACUGAUUUGAAGGCACGAACCGGUGAAUUGACUCCUCCAGGUAACAGAUUCUAUCAAAAUCAGGAAAUUAUUCUGUGAGCCGGGCAAAGAAACAAGAAUCAUGAAAACGAGAGAGAACAUAGAAAAAAAAACCCAUCUCUGGAGAUCAGAGGCGAGGCAUUGAAACAAUGGCGGCCUUAAAAUAAUGCUCCUGGAAAAAUUUCAGCCUGUUGGCAGUUUUGAGAUCUAUCAAGGAAUUGAACUGUCCAACAGGGCAUUCUGCCAUUAGUGAUUUCUUCUCCAACAUGAAUUCCUUAGAAGGGAGGAUAUCGAUAUGGCGCAGGACUUUUAUAAUUCUUCAUUCGAGAAAGUCAGUCAAAAUUCUCAAUCAGAGGUAGAAGACAUCUCCUCAGAAUGCAGGAUUAGCUUCACGACAAUCAGUGGAGUUUUUCAGCCCACGCUUGAUCUUCAUAUCACCUCCGUUUGCUUCUAACCCCUUUUCCCCUUGUUAGAACUUUGAAGGGAAAUAAAAAAAAUGAUUUCCAGAUUUUUUAUUUUUUAAAAUAAUUUUGAAUCAUCAAGAUAACAGAGAGAUGCGCAUGCAUAGAACAUCAUGAACAGUUAUAAAUACGAUCCUGAGGAUUAUCCGUGAGAUAAAUUCAUGGCAUAUUCCAAUAGGCAGAACGAGCGAUGCUUCCCUUCGCACAUCCAAACAUAUUAUAAUUAAAAAAUUCAUCCCCAUAGAAUUAAAUCCCCAGGACGUGCAUAUGCGUUGAUUUCGAUCGUAGUGACCCAAGAUAAUGAAAAGUGAUCAGACUUUCCCCUUCCCCACGUCAUCCAAACAAAAGAAGUGUUCCACACAGGGAACAGAAGCGCCGCUCUUCCAGAUUCUCAAGUUCAGGGAGGCUCUGAUCUGUCCUGGGCUCGAUCGACGGAGAUUUAAUAGCCCGUCUUAAUUCAAGGGUUUAAAGUUCAGGAACAAGAUGCGGACACAGAGCUCUAAGGAUUAAACCAAGAAAUCUCAUUCAUAUGUGCGUGAGAGGACUCUUCCGAUUCUACAGAGUAAUGAAACGUUGGAAUUAUCCUGGACUGAAAUUAUGCUCAUAAUUGACGCCUCCAAGCAAUUCUAAACCAAACAAUGGACGUGAAUGCGAAAACCCCGCCUCCAAUCUGUGCGCGAUGACCGAAUAAACCAGACGAUGCCCCCCCCCUAAGAAACCCUAGCACAGAAGGGAGCAGAGCAAAGGCGACGGCACGGCAGGAGGAGAAAGGGGGUGUGGACCUUGGCGGCGUUGAAUAUUUCCUCGGAUUUUUCCAGCGUGUACGGCUUCUUCUCGACCGAGAUCGCCAUCUUCACCACGGAGGAGGAAUGGCGGGCGCUCCGAGAGGACUUGCCGGCCGGGCAAGCGGAGAUGCUCGAGCUCCAUGACAGCCCAACUCCAGAUGCGCCCGCCAUUUUUUCUGCUUCCUCGCUCUCUGCUCUCUGCUCUCUCUGCUCCGGCGUCCUCCCUCUCAAACAGAUAAGAAGAGGCCACGCUGCUUGUCGGAAAGUGCCUCCUCUCCCACGCGAUCUAAGCCGCCGAUUCCGAAAACCCGAUACCAGGGAACACCGAUUGGACGGACGCCGAUUGGCCCCAUUUCCCCCGGCAAGUCACUGCUCAAGAACUUGUCCCUGUUCUAAUUUUUUUUUCUUGCCAUUUAUUUCCCGGCAAUAUCUGAAUAUUUUAUUUAUUCUUAUCAAAUAUUACACCGUUUAAAGAUAUUAUUUCGCCGUCAUUUAUUUUUUCAGAAAAUAAAACUCUCUCUCUCUCUCUCUCUCUCUCUCUCAGAGUCGGUGCGUUUUGACCUUGCCCGUUGACUCCGUGAAAACGCUUCUCAUUCAUUCCGGCCCACAAGUGGCCUCACAUGAACCCCCAUUUAGCAUAUUACACGCGGGUAAUUUGCAAAGUCGGCGCGGAUAUUUCCAUUUUCAACGAAGGAGCCUUGGAACGCAGUGAUUCUGGGCUGGUGGAGAGAACAAGAGAGCGGCGGCUGGGUGCGUUGACUUCAAUCGGCUGGUGAAGAGAAGAACGCAGGCAGCCAGGGAGGGUCUCACAAAAUGGUGCAGCCGCCCGGUUCCCUGCACAAAAUAACUAAAAUUUUUUAUCAUCAUUAACAUAAAAAAUUUCGGGGAUGCAAUGAGCUGCAUGGGUUUUCUGGGAGCCUACAACCCAUGGAAAACUACGAGAGAUAGAGAGAGAGAGAGAGAGAGAGAGAGAGAGAGAGAGAGAGAGAGAGAGAGAGAGAGAGAGAGAGAGAGAGAGAGAGAGAGGAGGAGGAGGAGGAGAGAGAGAGAGAGAGAGNNNNNNNNNNNNNNNNNNNNGAGAGAGGAGAGGGGAGAGAGAGGAGAGAGGGAGAGAGAGAGAGUUGACUAAUAAUGAAUAAUAAGAUCAUGGGGCGUCGUACUUCCUGGUGUCCUCAUAAUAGCUCAGGCUCUCGAGGAACUUAUUCCAGAGGGGACCCGUUUCCUGGAGAUUGACGCUCUCUGGACCACCCAGAUAGGCUUCAACCACAAACUGCUGCGUUCUUUCCCUGUUAAAAGAGGUAUGAUCGGAGGGUCAAUAAAAAUACUGAAUUUGGCGAUAUGUUCCUUUUAUAGGAUAAACAUCAAGCGACGGCCCAGUCUUCUCCUUGCCCAGAUCAAGCUCAAGCAUCCCUCGCAAUGUCCAGCCCGGGCCUCUGUAUGCACCUAUCUGACAGAGAGAGAGAGAGAGAGAGAGAGAGAUCUGGCUGCCACGUGGAUGUUGCGAGAAAAAAUUGCCCGGCCCAGUCUUCCAUAUGAUUUCUAACUCCUUGGUCAUGCACAUUCUUUUGGCAACAUGCUGUUGUGAUAUAUUUAGAGACAGGAAUGAAAAUUUUAACUAGAAAAAUGGGAAAUUUUCUAUUUAUGGUAGAUAAUUAUUCGCCUACCUCCCUUCAUACACUGACAGCCAUGCCAGAUAGGAUGCCCCAAAGUACAUGGAGACGAAUGGGUUGUACAGGUCGUCCACAGACUUGACUUUGUAAGCUCUGCAACCUACAUCGCUUCAGAGAGGAAGCACAGCCCAUUUAAUUAAUCCUAAAAUAGUAAGAUGAACACCACCGAGAAGCGAGCAGUCGAUCACGGAUAAAUGCGAAUAAUGGGGAUGGUUAUUACUAUAAUAAAUAUAAAUUGCCUUCGGGGUUCCUUGUGAACUCACUUGUACAGCCAUACUGCCGUGGGAUAAUCGAUCCCCAUCAAUCCAGUGCGUGCGCGUACUCCAUUCACAAAGCGCAUGCCGCACAUCUCAGCGAGAGCAGCUAAUGCUGACUGUACAGAGGACAGUAUUCAUAAAAUAGGUGAUAUAUAUGCCAAAUUUAGAAAAACUUGUACACUGGUAUUUAUGAGAAAGAAUUAAUUUUUAGGCAAAAUGUAAUGCAGAGACUAUGAAAAAUUUGGUUCAAAGUAUUCAUAAAAUAGGUGAUAUAUAUGCCAAAUUUAGAAAAACUUGUACACUGAUAUUUAUGAAAAUAAUUAAUUUUUAGGCAGAAUGUAAUGCAGAGACUAUGAAAAAUUUGGUUCACAGGAAUUUAUAGUGCUCUGUUUUGUGAACAAAAACUUACAGCUCUCACUCCUGCUGUUUUGAAAUAUCUUGAAAUAAUGAUUUCAGCAACUGCCUGCAGUGAAAAUAGUGGAACAUCAUAUUGAUGAACUCGAGGGCCAGAAUUAAGGAGCCGAUGUUAUCAUGAAGUGCCAUGAUUAUAUCAUCAUCAUCAUCAUCAUCAUUCGAUGAACUGUGCGAGAAAACCAAGAUAAAAAGUCGGGAGAGUGAUAGGAAACAUGAGAUUUCAUACAACUCUUGAGCCUGGCAGCACAUUUUAUUCUCCGGAUUUGGGCCUGGAAAAAUAAGUCACUAAUAAAUUUUCUUUCUGAUUUUGCAUACCUUCACUUCAACACGAGAUAAAUAUGGUCUCUUUUGUGCAUCAUGUGAAAAGCGGACCCUUCCACGUCUUUCCCCAGAUUUUGUCCACUCUUUAAGGACAUCUGGGUUCUUCCAUAACUCUUCCAUGUCUUCCGGAGAUGCUCUUGAGUCCCAAUAUGUCCAUCUGUCACCUGCUCCAAAGAUCCGUCACAAAAAUUGACAGACCAAAGAAAGCUUGAUGACAACACACAUGAUAUCAAAGCAUGAAACAGAAGUUCUUGAAGCUAAUAGUAUAGUCGAUAUUCAAGUUUUCACAAUUCAAACUUUAAAUAACUUGACUUCCGCCUUGUGUGCCCGAAAUAAGAGUUGUACUAGGGAAAUCAUUCCAAACAGAGAAUCUGGAAAAAAAUCAAUUUAAAAUUAGAAAUUUAAAUAUGCUGUUGCUCUGAAAUCUGUAUGGCCAUUGGAAACUUUGGUGGGAGGAAGGUUAGUCGGAGAUAUCAUAGCAAACUAAAUCAUGAUUUGCCUUUCUUCUAUGGUAUUUUUAAUCGCUGUGAUGGUGAGAGAGAAGCAAAAGAAAAUUGGCAACAACGUAGAAAGAAAAUCAUUUAUAGAGCUGAAACAUCGUUGGAGAAGUGAGUAAUUUCUGCAAAUAUGGAGAUAUUCGGAGAAAUGUCUCUUCACCACUUGCUUAUCAAGGAAUGCUCCUUUUUUUUUUGGUAUGGUCUAGAUUUUUAGAUUCUAGGUAAAUGUAAAGGUAGUAUUCAAUUUCAUAUAUUUAUUACCUCAAUAAUUUCAAGACAUUUUUAUUCAUACAAUUUUGAUACUUAGAUGGCUUCAGAAAAAAGCUCCCCUUACUAGUGUAAAAUAGGCAUCAAACAACUGUGAGCCUGUUUGGCCAAAUGACAAAAAAAAUUUCUUGGCUGAUCCAUCCUUUUCAUUGAUGAGAUAUUUCUGGGAAAGAUGCCACAAAUAAGUUGACUUUACACACAACCAACUCAUGGAACGGAACCAUUGCAUGCUUUCCAACAAGAACUCUUAAUGUUAAUGAAGAGGGAGAGCUAGAUUGUCUCCUUGGAUGGCUGUCAUUUGGUGUACGGCCAUUUUUGAGAGGCCCAACAAUAGACUCCACUGGUUUUCUUCGGUUGCUGGUAUACUAGUUUGAGAAAAUAACACAUAUCUAGCAUAUACAUGCAUUCACGUCUAUAUAUGUCCGCAUUUCUACUAUUUUUGGACAUGACUCCUUUAUGAAAGUAUUAUCUAAUAAAUAUUUUUUUCUCUUUUAACGAGAAAAGUGACUACCUGCCUUCAGUAAACUAGGUCCAGCCACACCAGCAGAUUCAGGCAUCAAAGAUGUGUUUCCAGGCAUCGUUUGUGAUUCUCUGCGUAAGAAUAAGAAUACCAAAAAAAUUUUAUAUAAUCUUCCAAUAUAAUCGCAAAUGAUUACAUAACCCCAAAUUAGAAAGGUAUCCCUUACUGCUUACGAAUAUUGGUGGUCAUGGGUACAUUCAAAAUGCAAUGUCUUCGUUUAUUACACAAGCUUGCACAAUCCAGAGCUUAACUAGUACAAAUGAUGGGGUGAAAAAUGGUCCAAAUAAGCUAGAAUGAAAAACCAGCAUUGAUGAAAACCGGUCAUAAAAAAUAUGGGGAUUCAAAUGAAACUCAUUGGGCCAAAUUUGGCUUGCAUUAAUGGAGCAGUACCCAUUUAUAGUAUAAACCCCAUGAAUCUAAACCCCAGGCAGUACCGGCUCUAGCCACUGGACUACCAACGCCUUGGUGACGUCAUAUGUCCAAUAUGAUAACUAUGUUGCCAGGAUAAUGAGAACAUGGAGUUAAAAAAUAACCUCCAUGAGGGCAAGCUCUGUUUGGCAGAGAGGUAUCUCUGGAAGUAUUCAAAUGUUGACUUGUGAGUCGCCUUCUUUGUGCCACCUCGGUAAGCUCUGACAAUAAAUUCCUCAUCCCUUUCCCUGCACAAAUUAGAACUAGUUUUUUAGGGUCAAAAGUAAUACUUAAUAACCAGAAGACGAUGUCACAGAAAAUAAAAUGCCAAUAACAACAAACUUACUUUCCAUCAUAACCGGAUAACCAGUGUAUAUAAGCAGCACCAAAAUAAAUAUUGAUUAAAGGCCUGUAAAGCAGCUCCGGGUUGCCCUCAAUUCGAUAACUCUGAUAACCCAUCUCCCUGAAAAUUCCAGUUACAAUGACUCGCACAUAUUUACAACAACUAUGCCAUCAAGAAACACUUCAAUGCCCUAAGUGACUGACAAUUAUCAUAACCCAUACCGAACAAGCCACUCUGCAGUUUUUUGAGGCACUAGCAUUAUCCCUAACCGAGUUUCUUUCGUCUUUUUAUCAUGUUGCAGUGCAAGAGGCUGUCUGUCACUUUCAAUGUCAGCAAGUGCGCAAAUCAUCUCCUGCAGAAAAAAGUAAAUGCCAAAAAUAUGUUGAAAGACAAUAAAAAGAAAUUAAUCCUUGUUAUAUACAGGAUGAUCAUUGCACAAAUCAAAACUGAAAUGAAAAUAUAUGAAACAUCAAGUUUUAGGAAUCAUGUAAAUCUGCAUGAAAGAAGACGAGAGAAAUAUUCAACUUCGAGGAAUUUAUAUUUUCUCGUAUAUAUGAACUUCUUUGCAGGAAACGAAUAUAAUAAGUAUACAAAGCAUAACAAACAAAUCACCAGCACUCUUACUUUGGCGCGUUGUUCUCAUGGUAAGGCCACAUCUUUCUCCGAAUAAGAGAAUCUCAAGUGUGGAAGUUUCAACUGUUAAAAUCAAUCUCUUGACGAGAAAGAAAGUGCAAGAAUAUUUUUUUUCCAUCCUUGCAGUGAUUAACAUGUAGACUAUAUAGAUUGUCAUUCUGUUUUUUGGAAGUGGUAUGACACCGAUAAUUACAUAUCAGCCACAUCGUAAGAGGUGCCCCCAACUGGUAGAAGGUGAACCGGUUGAGUCAGUGACUGAAAGAGGGGAUAAACCGGUUCCAAGAAACGGUUAGCAGAAGAGGCUAAGGGGGGACCGCGGACGUAUAAGAAGGGGGGGGAGAUCAGCAACAGAAGGGAUCCGGAGACAGCGGACCUAGUGGAGAGUGAGAGGAUCUCUCGAACAUCCUCCAAGGUGACUAGUCACUCCGACUGGUCAUUUCUACCCUCAAUGUUAUUGUUCUAUUGUAUCCCUGUUCAUCAAUUCAAGAAGUGCUUUCCUUUUAAUAUCAAUUGGUGUUCUACCAGGAAGUUUUCCUCUUGUUCUCCGUGGGUCAUCUGAUUAGCAUGCUACUUCUCAUUUCUCAAUUCUUUGCGAGGUUUAUCAGGCAUUGAGGAAGAAGUACUGAUAAAUUAACCACGUGUCAGCUUUCUGUCGGACUAAGGAAAGAAGAUGGGCAUUUGGGUACAGAGGUUAGAAGGAUAAAAAAAAAUGUGGAUGGCAAGGAAGGCUAUUAGAGAUGAUAAAAGCGUGUCCAAAGUGAGGCAUCAUAAGCUGGUUAGUGACUGUUGGCAUCUUUAAUAUUAUCUUGAGAUACAAGUGGCUUAACAGGCAGUAAUUACAUGGUUUCGCAUGUCAAUGACAUGUCAGCAAAAAAAGAAACGCAAACCAAAGAAGGAAAGAGAGCAAUAGGGAAAAUAAAAUUUGCUGGCGAAGAGGAUUUUCCGGGGGGGAGCAGGGUUCCACACCCUACAUGGAAGAAUAGCGACAAAUAGGAACCCAUCCGAACUCCAAUUUCUAUACCUCUGUGAGAUGCAGAUUAAAGUAGGCAGAUAAAACCUAUGAAAAAUGUAACCUUUUCACUUUCAAACCAUGAAAAACAGAGGGAUCUUCCUAUACCUUCUCAUACUGCUGUUAAUUUUACCAUUGCCAGAAUCUCCUCAACUCAAAACCAAAAAAAAAGAACUUAUACAUUUGAACUUCAAACUAGAAAAAAAUGAACUUUGUCCUGAUUUUGCAACGAAACUCCGCAAAUUUACCACGCUGGGAAAAUAUGAGUGAAGAAAUAAUAAAUGAGGCAGAUAUCACAGUGUCCUCUCAGCAAAUAAUUGUUCAACUUUAUUUGCCAGGGCUCACCUAGUUAACAUGUAGUAGAAACCAAACAUGCUUACUGGAGAGAUACUGGCUUAAUAGUGUUUAGAAUUAAUCGAAAAUAAGAAUAUAGCUUCAAUUAAAAUUUGAAAAGAGAGAAUAGUACAGAGGGGCCGACAGGAGAAAGCUGAUUGUGGAUCUGAAUGCUGUAACCCAAAACAUGCUUACCACCUUUAAAAAGAAAACAUAAUUUCAAUAAAAAUAAUCAAAAGAGAAAUCAAAUGAAACAGAGAAAAAAGGCCUUGACAGAUGUGCGGUUCAGUGACAGAUUCACAAAUCUUUCACCUUUUUUUAUUCUUAGACUGGACUACAGUGGCGAGCAGGAAAACUUUGGGAUCACCCCCAACCUGACAAUGCCGGGGAAGAUCACUGAUGGCGGCCUCCCUGUCAGUGCCUACGGUGGCAGGAGGGAGAUCAUGGAGAUGGUGGCACCGGCGGGGUCGGUGUACCAGGGGAGGACAAAACCUCAAAACGUGGAUCAUAGAACAUGGCUAAUCCAAUUGCAAGAAUCAAAUCUAAUAUUAAAAACUAUGGGAAACUAUCUGAUUCGUUUUUAUUCAGAGAGAGAAUCAUCCAACUCUAAAUACUUAUGACAAUUUCUAGUCUCGGAUAGGAUUCAUUAAUUCUCAAUCAUUCUCAGUCCGGGCUGUUUCAAAAAGUCCUAGUGGUAAGCUCAAAGGCAGAGUAAUAAGACUAAUUAACUUAUUAUUUGUCCAGAGAAAUAAUAGCAAGAACCUUAAGAGUGACUCCAGGCUAUUCUUCCAUACACAAAGGAAGCCAUAAAUAUCAGGAGAUGCUCUACUAUACAAAUUUUGUAAACCAGUGAAUGAGACUACCGUUAUAGUGAUAUUCAAAGGGUAAACGAAACAAUGUAUGCUUAGAGAACAGAAAUUACUGGUUCCAGCUGCGAUGGGAAGUGUCUGCGAACAAUAAUUCCAGCCACUGCCUGAAUCAAUGUUAAAAUUAUUUUUCGUAAGUUGACCAGAUGUAUCCAAAAAAAAAUUAAAUAUUAAUGGGUGUGAAUGCAAUGUUCCUGAAAAACAUAUAGGUACUCAAAACUUAGAAAUCUUCAGCGAGGUGACAAAAGGUUGACCUUCCAGUAAUUUUUCUAAGUUGGACAAGAGAAAGACCAAAGCUAGAAGUCUGUGGACAACUUUAACGAGAAGACAGUGUUACCACCAUAAUCUUACACGACUUUGCUCAAUAGUAUGCAAAUAUACUCGACUAAGUUUUUCCAUAUGAAAUGUGAACGAGACAACGUAAUACAUUCAGACAAGGUUAAACAAAAUAAUCAUCCAGUAAUGAUCAGAUCGCAAACUAUCGAGGAUGAACAUAUCCACUGGAUAUACGGUAUCUCAGGUGAUACAGUAGUUCAAUUUAUUUCUCCCCUUCAUAAUAAUACAGAUUCGUCUAUUUCUUUUCGGGGCAAAAGACCUUGUAAACAGCUAGAAAUAUGUUCAAUUUACCCUCAUUUCCGUUUGCGUCAGAAAAGGCUGACCGUCAGGAUCCCUUGAGAGGAGGACUUUCUUCCCUCUACUUUCUCCGGCGUCCGCCCACUCCUUGCUUACGUCUGAGUCCAUCCACAGCAAUUCCAUAUCCUCUGCGUCCACGCAGUCCUCCCAAUAUUUGAAGCACACAGACAUUUUAUAACGAUAAAUCGGAGCGUCGGUACGCUAUAUACCAACAAAAUUUUUGACAAAAGAUUGUAGCUGUCUGUGGAACCUGACAUGGCAGACGAGAAAAAUUCAAAUAGGAAAAAGGUAUUAGUAUUUAAGACAAGUUUUCCUGACAGGAAGAAACUAUACACCUUAUUCUUAUGAAUUUAUGGUAACUCUGUUUCAUCAUGAAUACACUAGCUGCUUAUGUUCUUCAAUUCUAAAUCAGUUAUAGAUGAUAACUUCUAGUACCAUUCAGAUUACCAGACUUGUUGAACAGCCAACAACUUUGGGAUUUUAGGCCGGGCAGCAAGUUGUGCAUGCAGUGGUGCACUGUACUGAUACUUGGCGUCAUUUUGGCAGACUGGGGCCACCACCAGAUUAUGACAUUUUCGGUUAUCAAUGCUGAAAAAAGAGUGGUCGACAAAGUCCCUAGAAUAAAUUUAUGCGCUCCAAAAAAAGGUCUGCUAGACAUAGUUUAAAAAAUGACCUCUUCCUUGUAUUUCGAUGGUCAAGAUGGAUUUAAUGCACUCAUCAUUUUAUCAUAGUUAAUAAGAAGACUACGAACAUCAAGUUUGAAUCUCGUUGGUAUCUAGCAUCCCAAACGCCUUAGAAUCAGAGAUUAUUAAGCCCUGGGAAAUCACCAUAAGAGGUUCUUAUGGCUGCUGAGAAAAUCCAGGCACCGGACAUAGCGGAAAGAAAACCACAAGCCCUUUACCAGAUUAUACGUGCCAGAACUGUAAUCAACAGACAUGUCGUAAAAGCGUCUAUAAAUAAAUGAAAAUACUUCAUCAGAACUUCAUAAAGAAAUAACUUACACUCAACAAGCUUCGAUAUGUUUUUUCACUUUUCAAAUGCCCGGAAAAGAAAAAAAAGUGGCGGACUCGUCGUGAUCAAGGAUGAGAGGUGAGGAAACGAGAAUAAUGCACAGAAUGGGGAAGAGAUAGCAGAUCAACCUCUUCUUUUGGCGCAUUAGCCGGCGCGGGGCUCUCGGAGGAGAGAGAUGGGAAAUGUGAGAGAAAUUGAGGACAAUCUGAGAGAAACCCAGUUCGAUCGGUAGCGAGAAAGGGAAGGAGUAGAGAGAAACGGGGUGGAGGACGAGAGAUGGCGACAGGAGAGCAGGAACGCGGGUGGCGAGGGGCAACGGAGGAGAGGAUCGCCAACGGACCUGCGGGUGCCACGUAGGACAAAGUUCUCGCCUACAGUCCGCCGCGAAGUGGCACAUUCAAGAACCCAAACCCGGCCUGGCCCAUUAAAUAAAACUCUCUCUCUCUCUCUCUCUCUCUCUCUCUCUCUCUCUCUCUCUCUCUCUCUCUCUCUCUCUCUUAAUGCUGAAUUAUUUAUUAAAGAAAAAAAGCGGGCGUCAAGAAGUAAAUUCCUAGGAAUUGCCAUAUACGGCGAGUCCAGAUUUAUUUUAUAAGGUAUAAUAUUAUUUAAUUGUUGUUAAAAUAUUUUAUAACAAAAAAAUGAUCAUGCACCUUUAAGGCAUGAUAUAUUAUAUUUGAAGAGAUAAAAUGAAAUCAGAAAGUAAUAAUACUCAUCUCAUUUAAAGCUGAUUACUGUUCAAGUCGAGCAUUUAUCGGCACCACACUUAUUUCGGAAAAUACGCUCUUCAAAGGAUAUUUUCGGAUCGGAUCGUCCGAUAAUGAUUACUGGGUAUAGAUACGUUUCAUCAGGGAAAAUAUAGAGCUCUAGAAAAUAAAAAUUAAAAAAAAUGGAAAGUAGCUGAAGAUAGACGCUCAUAAUGGUAGAAACUGAGGGCUACAUGGAAUUUUUUUUUUUUUUUGCGAAAUUCGGCAAGAACAGUUUUUGUUUUGUUGAACUGAGAAGGAAUUAUAGGGCGAAAUUGAUGCACGCGCCGUGUCUGAAUGAUCCAGAAUAAAAAGAUGAGAGGAACAUAAGCAACACCAAGAACAGCGGAUCAACUCAUCUUCUCUUGAUAAAAAAUGCAUAAACUACCAUCUGGAUGCUUUUUCAUGAUCUUGUAUCCAAAUCUAGAUGGCCCUGGUUUAUAUAAGUUUGGGAUACACCUGACGAUCAUAUCCCCAUUCCCAGGUCGUUCCAAAUCUAGAAACAAAUUUAAAGGAAAAUAAGAUGCAAGUUAAAACCAAACUUUGGAUAAAAAAAAUUCGGACAAAAAGUUAUGUCUGAUGAUGAAAUCAUACGCCAUGCUAAGAAAAAAAAACCUGUUGGUCAACGGGUUCCUGUAGAAAAUGGGGGCUCAGGGACGAUGAGGAUGAAGCCCAAUUUCCGAAUCCGAUUUAAGAAGAGAAAAGAUCGGCGCUCACCUCGGAAGGUGUUCCGCUCUUCAUCUGUCCCAACUCCAACUGGCACAGCUGCUGCAGGUCAAAGGAACCGUUCUGGAAAGAGUUGCAGGAAGUCGAGAGAGAGAGAGAAAGAGAGAGAGAGUGAGAGAGAGAGAGAGAGAGAGAGAGAGAGAGAGAGAAGUCUGACCGUUCCGACCGCGCUUGCACUUGCCAUGGCAUCUGCUGGAGGUUGCCAGAACUGCGGUGGAAGGGCAAGAUGGAGGGAGACGACUGUUGGAGGUUGCUGCUGGUGCUACCGCCGCCAUUGCCACUGCUGCUGAUGAUGCAUUUCCAGCUGCCAUUGCAGCCGCUGCUGCCAUGACUGUCGCUCCCCUCUUCCAGUAUAAGGUGAGAUGCCCGUCCUGCAGCUUUAACAGACAGAAACCCAAGCCAAAGAAAAGGAGCAAGGGGAGGGGUAGGGGAAGGCGGGCAAAGGAGCCCAAGAACAUUCUCAAGAGCUGCCAUGGCCGGUUUAAGUUCGUUCGUUGGAGUGAUCUCACAGGAGAUGUUCAAAUAGAAGCUCUACCAACACAACCAGAGAUCAGAUUCCAGGCAGCUUUCGAUUGAUUUACAUGAAUUGCUUCUAUUCAAAUAAAAGUGACUAAGAAACAACCAAUGGAUGGAGAGGACGCUCUAAAAUAGGGCUCUGAACUUUGAAAACCGAGCCCGAAUCUACAGCCUGAAAUGGGAGGGCUUUACAAGGGGGGCAUGAGGGUUCUGUACAGAAAAGAUAGGGGCGGCUUACAGGUCUUCAGGGCGCUGGAUCUCGCCCAUCAUGAUGCGGUUGCUGUGGACCUUGAAGCCCAGGAGGGAGGGAUCAAUCUGCCUGCCCUUCUUACCUUUCUUCUUGUUGCUGGCCCUGGCGGCGCCCUGGGCGCCCUCCACCUCCGAGGCCGCGCCCACCGCGUCUCCUUCUGUCACGGGCUUCUUGGGGCUCAUCAGCAUGUCCAUGAAAGAGGCCCCCAAGGGAUCCGCAUCGCUGGGUGCCCGCCGGAGUCUCGCGUCCUUCACGGCCUGUGGGACCUCGAUAGCUUGCGGCGCUGCACCUCCACCGAUACCUCGCCCGCCCUCGCCGUUGUCUACCGCAUCAGAUGAACAGUCAGCACGCAACCAAUGUGGAGGAGGACGACACUGCGGCAAGAAUGGCAGCGGGGAUAAGCUAAGCUAUUCUAUGCGGAGAAUCGGCAUACCCUCUGAGGGAGAGGUGUUCCUGGUUUCGUCACCCAGAGCAGGAAGCGGCGCCAGCUGGGGCAGUGAGUCUUGGGACGCCAAUGAGCCUUGGAAGUGGUGCUUCAGCAGAGUGUUGGGGAGGAGGCUGGGAGUAGGACCCAAAUAGUAAGUUCAUAAUUUUUGAGAAAAAAAUGCCAGAUGGCAUUAUAUGAAGGAUCAAACAAUAGUUGCAUACGAGGUGCAAUGAUGAUUGGUAAAAAAAAAAUCUGGAAACUGGCUCAUUGCCAACUCGAACAAAAUAUAUUGACAAUACCAACUCUGCUUUAACAUAUUGUUAUGAAAACCCUAACAAUUUAUGUAUUAGCCCCUUGCUAGAUGAUGCUGGUCGUCAGUAGGAUCAAAGUGUUCUGAAGCUGGCAAAACCCUGUGCCAUAGGCCGGCGGGAUGAGCCGCCCAAUUCAAUAUCACAUUUGGAAUCAUAUUUGGUCCGUAAUAAAUUGGGCAGCCUGUCUCCUUCAAUCCAUCCAAAUCUAACGAAAAAAAACUCUUAUAAACAAUAGACGACAUAGAAACUUCAACUUCGUCAAUGCUAAGCAAGGGGCUCUAGAGAACAUAGGUGCAACAAGAAGGCAAACCCAUCGCCCUCAAGAAACGGGCAUGAGUCUGAUGGAUAGAAACAGUAAGGAGUCCCCCUGUUUGCUUCUGGGAGGUGCACCUCAUAAUAGUAACAGUGGUCGGUGACAAGGACAGAUAAGCUAGAGACCAAAUGUCACAACGGACGGUUCAAAAACAACAACAACGAAAUUACACAGGUCCCUCGUCACUUAUAACCAUGGUUAUUAAUAAGAACAGGGAUAACCAAUCUGGAUCAGGAAUGGAUCAGUCAAGCAGGCGAGUUAAGAAGAAAAGUGCAGCCAUGGUUUUUAAAAAUACUAGCUGCAUAAGCAUUAAGGUGAGGCACCAGCUGACGAGUCAAUACGAUAAAGUCUAAUAAAAAUUAUAUGCUACUAAUAUAUUUCAAAAAAUUAAUAUGAAUGAUUAAAUAAGAUAUAAAGAAUAUAAUGGAAUGAUAAAUAUAGCAUAAACAAUGAUGCAUGAAAGAGAAUCCUGCCACAAACAUGUGAGAUCACACUAACACGAGGAACAUGUGCAUGUCAAUGCAAGUAUGUCCCAAAGGCAAUAUCCACGUGUCUGUCAUGACAGCUUUGCCAUUGUAAAAAGAUAAUGAAGAAAACCAGGUAAACAAAAUAAAUCAGGAAAUUUCGUGAGCAAAAAUUAUUUAAAAACUUCAACAACAAGAACCAUAAUUGAAAUAGAAAUUAAAUAAGAUCAUUCUACAUCUCAUUCAGAAUUCGCUAUACCUAUCAGUAUUCAGCUCUCGACUGGGCUCACUUUCCACAUUCAUUUCAAUGUUGUAUAAACCCAUGUUUCCACCUGCACAACAUCAUGAAGCUAUUGAGCUAAAUAAGAAAAACUAGUUCAAUGAUUCAACGAAAGUAUCCUAGCAACUGUCUCAAUUCUUAUACUGAAUGAUAGGAUUAAGGAUAAAGAAUUUUUUUGGGACCAACGAAACCAAAAAAAGAAAUUGUCAGAAACAUCACCAAGAAUCUCCGGAGUUGAUCCCUUUGCUGAUUUAACUUUGGACCAAGGUUUUUUGGCUUUCACACCCUCUUUCGUAUCCAAGAAGUCCAUGCUGGAAUCUCUAUAUAUCGCCUGAUUUGUUUCAUUCAUAAUAAGAGAUUGUCUAUCUUCUAGUAAUUCUCCAGAAAUAGGUUGAUAAGACAACCUUUUGCCGCUUUCAAUACUGUUGGUCUGUCCAUCAGGAGCCACGUUCACUAACUGUUCCUGGGCAAGGAGCCUCAACUUGGAUCCAUAGGGAUCCUUUGCGAAAGUAUCCCGACUAUUUUGGUCCCCACGCAGAUUGAAGGGGUGAUCUGAAGCAGGUCCAGAAAAGGGCCAAUUAGCAUCUCUGAUGCCAUGAGAUGAAUCACGAGGAUCAUUAACCAUAUCUGGUGGCAAGGAAUGGAUAUUCAAAUCUUUCCCAAGCAAGCCCAUUAGAGACCGUGCAGAUUUGUCAUCAUUGCCUACUGUAGCCCAGGCAUUGGGAUCCUCAGGUCCGAGAUUCAUCAUAAAAUUUAUCCUCUGCCUUUCAGCUUCGAGGCGUAGUUGGUGAGGCUGAGACUCCAUCAAACUCUUUGGAAACUGCCCAUCAGGCUCGGACAUGUGGAUGGCUACUGAGUCCAUAUGCGAUGCAUUAAAUUGAUUAGGAAACUGCUGAGGGCGCGAGCGAACAUUGGAAGGAAACUGACCAGCUUGACCAGAAUGAUUUACAUUCCCGAAUUGAUCCUGAAGACCUAAUCCUUGAAGUCGUGACAUGAGCUCUGUGUUGAACCCAGUAGCAUCAACAGGGGAAGAGAGUGGCCUCUCAAAAGGUUGUGUUCUUGGUUCAAAAAGAGCAUGUUGCAUAUGCUCACGCAUGGACAAGCUAUGAUCAAAAUGGCCUGAUUGCUCAAAGGCUGGCCGGUUCUGCUGGCCUUGGAGACGAUCCAACUGAGCGAGACCAGAGGAAUGGGACCAAUGACGACCUGAAGGUGUUCUCACAAGCUGGCCGGAUUCGUCCACUGACCAAGACCUUCCAAGAUGUCUCUCAUCCUCCACGACUGGAAGCUGCCUUUGUCCCCCUGGAAACUGUUGGGCCUGAAGCUGCUCUUGUUGAAGCCUAAGAAAGAACUGUUGGUCCAAAAGUCCUUGAUUCUGCUUGGAGUGCAAGACCUCCAGCAAAUCUUUUGGAUGCUCCGGAUGCUGCCUGUGUCCAAACUUUGCCUGUAUAAGCUGCUCCAAAGAUGGAUCGUUGUGCCUUGGUUGAAGAGACUGUUGCUUCAAAUGAUGGUGAAGACGUUCCUGAAAGACAAGUUCAUCGUGCAUAGCUUUCCUCUGGAGAGGCUCAACGUGGGAAGGCCCAAAAGGAGGUUCAUGCAUCUGUCGCUGCAGCAACUGCUCCAAAAGCAAAUGUUGCACAUGAGACUGUUCAUUUUGCUGCUGCUGGCGCUGCUCCAGUAAUUGCAAUGGGAGGUGUUGAAGCUCUUGCUGCUGUUGGAGCUGCAAAAGCUGUUGCUGUUGGAAUUGAAGUUUCAAAAGAUUCUCCAACUCGGGUACAUGUGGACCAAUUACUUGCUGAUGAUGAGGGCUGUGGAGUUGUUCCAAAUGAAGCCGUUGAUGUGGAGUUGGCAAAUUUUGCUGCUGAAGUUGUUGCAACUGAAGUUGUUGUAAAAGCAUCUGAUCUUCAAGACCAAGUCGACCAGAGUCUUGUUCGAAAUGAGACAGCUGGUGGGCAACCAUUGAAUCAUGAAAUAGGUUUGGAUUUACACCCCCAUGUCUACUGCUGACAUUUGGCCACAUGUCACGAACAUCACGUAAAUCACCAACUGAACUAGAGUCAAGUCGUUGCCCAAGAUUAGAUAUAUUAGUUUGCAGCUCAGGAUGCCCCUGGUUAAUGAUUCCAGAUAAAUUUGUUGAUAAAGGACGCUUCUGGUGAGCUUCUAGCUCAGAAAGUAACAGCCCAAGAGGAUGUGCAUCAUUAUCAGUCAGAACCUGACGCCCGGGCAAGUUUACAUCUUCCGUUUCGCCAGUAGAAAAGUCAUGAAUGCCCAACCGGGAAGGAUUCGAUAGGAUGUUCGGAUUAGUACUCAAUGACCUUCCACGAUAUAACACUUCUACAACAUGAAGCAAACAAGCUCAGUCAAAUUCCUAAAUACGAUAAAUGAGAAAUAACAUAAAAUAUACCAAAAAAAACUAAAAAGUCAAGUAACUAGAAGAGAGAAUAAACCUUCAAUGUCUGGCCCUGUAUGCUCACGAAAGCUCUGGUUCUCAGCAUGAUAAUUACCAGAUGAUAUAUCCGGCCUGGAAGAAGGAAAGCUACGAUCAUGCAGAUCAAUACGAUCAGAAUGUUUUGACAUUCUCUGUCCACUUAAAGCACUAGAAACAGAAACGUCCGGAACUUCUUCAGGAUUUCCUUCAAUAGCAUCUGAUGAUUCUGACUGAUCCCCAGAGUUAUUGACUAGAACAGAUCUAGCUCUGAGUUUCAAAUGUGGCAUUACAUCCCCGAGUUUUUUGAAAGGUGUGCCUUCAGGAGCAUCUGCCAGGCAUACGGGUAAAUCAGUGCCAAAAAAUCCCUGAUCAAACCACGAAAUAAUGUCAACUCCUAAAAACGGUCCCUGUAUCUCUCCCUGAGGAUCUCGGUAAAAGAAACUCAAUUCUUCUGGAGGGAUACCCAGUUCAAACUUUAUUUCAUGAUUAUUCUUUUGAUACGGUUCAUUUGUACUAACAAAAUCCUUAAAAAAUUGCGAAUCGAAAAUGGUGGUGGACUGAUCUGGUAAUUUUGAAUGGCCAUCCAAAGUAGCAGUUAAUUCCUGGUCCGUAGUUUUACUGUUUCUCAAGUGUAAAGCAAGUCCCGGGCCAGUCAUGGCAUUUCUUAUGUCAUCGAUACAGACAGAACUAGCCCCAUCCAUGCAUGAUAAACCACCCUCAGAAGCAAUUGGAGUCCAACCACUAGUAGUCUCAGACAUCAAGUUACUAGCUGAUUUCCCAUGCUCCUCAAAGGAAGAAACUCCAUCUGAAAGAUUCAACAUUUUCAUCAAAAAAUGUGAUUGAGAGAUAAGCCAAUAAAAGUAAAAACAGUUUACUUGUAGACUGCUUAAAUGGAAAUUUAUACGUCUUUAUAGUAGCACAACUCUUGUUAUUGCAUGCCCUCAAAAAAGAAAAAAAAUUUGAAAAUUUGAAACCACCAAUACCAAGUAUAACUAGAGUUGAGUUAGUUGAUAACUAGAACCCGAAAAAGAUCAAUCUUGCCCCAGUUACAAAGUUCACUAUUAAGAGAGGAUGUUGGUAUUCACUCUACUCCUGUACCAAAAGUGCACCACUACCCUUCUUGAAAUGAAUUUCAAGGUAAAUGCACUAGUCCAGUCACCCCAAAAAAUCACUGUAUCUCAAAUUGGACAUGUCCAACCCUCAUCCAGGAUAAAAGAAACCAGUUUGGAAAAACAUUACAAAAGGAAAGUACUUUUUGAAUGUAAAAUGCAUUAUAGAGAUAAAUAAAAAGGUAGAAAAUUUAAAAUAAGAAAUCAUAGAAAAUACACAACCAUUACCCUGCCCCCAAACCAAGACAUUUCUUCACGAGUAUUCCACAGCAAGAGUUUAAGGAAAAAGAAGUUGGGUGAAAGACCACCGCAGAAAAGGCGCUGGGUGGUAGCAGAGUUAACUAAUUCCUUUUUUUCUUCAUUCUACUUUUUUUAUUGCCUUCCUUCCGUUUCCUCUUUCUCUACUGCCCACUGCAUCAACAUCACUUCUUUCUCCCCUCCCUCCUGCUCCAAAAGGACAAGUUCGACCUGGAAAUAGCCAUCUGAAAGAGGCUGGCUGAUUCCCAGCGACACUUCUUGUGUAUUUUAAAGUGAUAUUGGGAUUUCACUCGUGAGCUUAUCAGGAAUAUCUGAUUCCAAUGUGAGUUGGCAGAAGCUAUGAAUCAUCACCCUGACCUACAUAUCCCAUCUAAUUACACUUUAACCGUUGAAAAAAAAUUAAGACUAUGUAAGCGAAUGCACUUUCAGAAAUCCAUUAUCACGUAUAAAAAAAUUAUGGAAGCAGAAAACAAAAGUCAUAAGGGUAUUCAUGUCUAUUAAAAACAUAACAGUAAGCCUUGAAAGAAAUUAACUCAUCUAACUAUAAACUUUUUAUAUGUGGUGAGAGCACAUAAGAACACACGCAUUAGGAAGGUUGCAACCUAAUGUUUAACCCAAAAAAAACUGAGAUGGAAAUAUCUUUUACCAGUUCUUUGAGAGGUGCUGUAAUGUCCCCCUUUUGCAAGUAAUUCCUUUAACUCGUCAGUAGAUUUUGUGCUGUAUCUACCAUCAGCUAGUUUUAUGUUAUUCUCCCCUGAAUGAAAAAAUUGAACACGGUUAAAGAAAUUGUCUGCAGCAUGUCAUACUAGAAGCACCAAUAUCAUCUUACCAGUCUCGAAGUCAUUGAAUUUUGACGUCUUCUCUCUGGCAAAACUAUAAGAUACGUCACUAGAGGUAAUUUUUCCUUUCCACAUUUCUUCUAGAACAGCCUGCCAUAUAUUUCAAAAAAUGUUAAAGAUACCACACAGAGUUCCAAAAUACAAAAAAAAACUUUUCUGCCAACAAUGAGACAGGAAUAGUAUUAAAGAUAUGAAAAACUUCCAAAACAUAAAAUAAAUUUGAUGUGUCACAAUAUCAUAAAAUAAACAGGGUAUUGCAUGGAUCGCAGAAUCAGCAGUCAACUAAUAAAAAUUCUGAAAACAAAGAUCUCAUGUGAAGAGGUCCUUUGCGGACAAUUAUCAAUAAAAAAUUCGAGGCAUGGCAACCAAAAAAUUUCUGAAGAAAAGGCAAGGCACCCAACUGACACCACCAAAUUCUUGACGUUUGUAAGACAAAUCCUUCUUUUGAUUGAAGGUACAGUGGUUAACAGAAAGAAUUUCAGGUUCACAUAUACUCACAAGUCAACAAUACAAUCUUAUUUGAGUCAACUCAUGAAACGAAAAUUAAAAAAGUAAAAAUGCAUAGUGGAUACCGAAUGCAGUGCAGUCUAAUAGAGAAUACGGAUUCAUCAUCAUAUAUCAACAUGUAACUACCUGUUCAUCAUAUACCAAGCGAUCCUGAUCUGUAUGUCUGUGGACAGACUAAAAACCGAAGACUAAAUCUAUCCUCGACUUCCAUAAAAUUUGCAUUUUCAGGAUAGUGGGAUUCCAGCGGAAUUCGAGGGUAAUUGCUGUUGGGACAGGGGAGGGGAGUCGCAAAAAACGCGAGGGAAGGUAAAUGAUCAUCACUUUCGGUAAGACAAUCAAUAAUAAAGUCAACAAUUAGUAUCGGACAUGUAAAAAUUAGACGACUAAAAUUCACAAAAAAUAUAUGAGUCCGUGCAACAUCCCCAUUCAAAUAUGCUGGCUCAUCGCAUUUCAAUCUGCUCGUUCCUCAAAAUCCAACAGUAAUCUCAUCGUGCCAGGGAUAACAGUCUGUCCUGGAAACUACAGAUUUUGCCCAUAAACAUGCAAAACUCUUCCCCGCCACUAAGUGCAGAUGUCAACAAGGUUGUCCAUUGGUUAACUCCGGUUAUUACAGUCUACCAAUGACAAGAAUAUUAUGAUUUUAACCUGCGGAGUAACAUAUAAACCUUAUUGAUCAGAUAGCGUCAAGUAUUCAAAACUUUCCACUGAAUCAAAACUGGUAGGAAGAUUCUGGCAGCCACCUUUCUAUGCAAAAACGACACAAAUCUUGCAACAACAAAGCAUGGAAUAACUACUAUAGUUUGUCUAAUUCAAGCAUUCAAUAAUACAACAGUGACAAAAACAUCAAGUAAAAGCAUAGGUACUAAGCAAUGAAAAAUAAGGAUUACCUCCUCCUCUGCAUCAGGGGUUACAAAAGCAAGAGGAUCAACUUUAUUUGAUUGGGUUAUUGGAGGAACUUCCUCCAGGCCAUCAGGCAGAGCAUCAAAAGUUGAAACUAAUGAACGUUUUCUGUAAAUAUCAAGAAGCUUUCCACGAGGGUAACGGAAAGUGUCAGGAGACAGGCCAUUUCUAACCAUAGCUUCACUCUUAAAACCGAUAGGACCAGCUACAGAAGGCCUCCCAAUGGGAAAACUUCCAGUAAGGUUCGACCUCCCACGCCCAGAAGCAAAUCCUGUAAUUUGGCCAUCAGCACGACCUCUAUCCAAACCAAAACCUGGUGCUGCACGGUAAACGGUCGAGCCUCCAGAUUGAACAUCCUGUCUAUGACGUGGUCUCCACUUGUCACGAGCAUCACUUUCAGAAGUUGCACGAUUCGCCACAACAACGGGUUGUUUUUCAGUGUGGGUAUCAUCUUUGUCAACAAUAACUUUUUUCUCAGUUCGAGGGUCUUCCUUAUCUUCCGGACCCCAUCUUGAUGACCAUUUGCUGUCCCUACGGUUUUCAUGUCCUGAGGUACGAAUAUUGCCUUCAUGCCAUUUGUCCGAUAGCGGCAUGCUCUUAGAAUCAGCUUCUCUCAUACUACUAGUGUCAACACGACGCUCACUUUUUCUAUACUCAUUUUCCCUGUCUCCUUCCUUCUUGCGCUCUCUCCUAACAAGUAACCCAGUGUCCCUUUCCUCUUCACGCCAGCGGCGACUAAUAUCCAUCUCUGGAGCAGCCCUUCGCCAAUCCUUUUUUUCUUGCGAUCCAUCAAGACGCCAACCAUCCUUUUGAAGGGGUUCAGACGAAAUUCCAUGAGACAGAUUAUGUUGACCACGGAUUUCCUGUCACAAAAAAGAUCACAAAUUAUUUCGCAAAAUAUUGACACAGAAAAUGGGUUACCAGAGUCAAACAUAAAACCACCACCAAGAACAUAUUAAACACAAAGAAACAUCUAUCAACAAAGUCACUAAGGAAAUCAUCAUGCAUAACUUGAAAAGACCAAUUUCAUGACCAGUAAAGGUUAUGGCACCAUCCCAAAGAGAGCUCUAAAACAUCAUGAUAUAACCAGAGUAAUCAUGAGCAUACCACAACCAUAAAGUAGAUAGCAAAGAAGAUCUUACCAGACAAAUGAAAACAGAUUAAAAACAGCAUAUUACCAAAUGACAAAUGACCCCUCAUUUUAGCGUUUCAAAUUAAAAACAGAUUCAUAAAAUAAUUCCUCAAUGGUACAGCACUCUUCCUAAUUAAGGCACAUGCAGUGGCACAAGAAAACCGAAAACUGCAUACCGAGAUCAAAAACAAAAAAUAUUAUAAAAUAGACAUAAUAAUUUGAAUUGAUGUACACACAGUCUUAAAAAACGGCAUGAAAAUUUAUGUAAAAUACAAUAUUUCCUCAGUUACCAUUCUCUACUUAAUGUUUAUUUAGGAAACACUUAAAAAAAUAGUUUAUUUUUCAGAAUCAAACAAUAAAAUGAAAUAAAUAUGUACGAAUAUAUACAUAGCUAGAUGACCAAAUACAAACAACUCACGGUAAAAAAAAUGACGUCCAAUGUAAUAGGGAAAAAAUGGAAGAAACAAGAGAUGUCAUAGUCAGCAGAAGCACUUCAAAAUGUAGUAAAUAAGGGUAAACAUAAUCAAAUAAAGAAAUAUGAUGAUACUCGGUUCAGAUGUUUACCCCAGAGAAAGCUGAAUGACUAGUUUUACUCUCAUUGGUCUUAGCAUACAACCACUGAGGUGUCAAAGGUAUGUUCUCGGAGAUCAGUGGAUCUGCAAAAGAUGCAAACAAAACAAAAAUCACUGUCCAGCUAAAGUAAAAUAAUUUAAAAUGAGCGUCCUAAAGACACAUUCCUCUAAAUAUAAGAAAACUUCCACUCAUUAACAAUGACUAAUUCUUCUGAGCAAAACUUUCAUAUAAGCACCAUAGGAGAUCAUUACCCUUCAUAUUUUCAUGAUUGAUAGCAGAAUAUACUGGCUUUGCAGGAAAACCAUCAUCAGGCAAUAUCCAGGAUAUUCUUAGAUGGUAAUAAAAAAUGAUCACUUUCUCUGUGUGCAAUUAUCCUUUGCUAAAAAAGCAAAUAAGUGUCUUCUUUGAUUAAUAAAAACAACCAGAAUAAUUUUCCAAACAACUUUGCUUCAUUAUUUUAAUAUGUCUAAAUCAGAAUAUGAUCAAAGGAUAGUUUGCUGAGGUGAUACCUUUCAAAUCCUCUGGAAGUCCCAAAAGUUCCUUAUCCACGUAAUUCCCUCCAGACGUAUCAGCUGUUUCAACGAAAAAAGGAAAACAUCAAGAAAUAUGUAAAAUAAAAAAAAUCUGAACAAAUUACACGAGAGCCGCUGAUUCUCAGUUUUUCUUGUUUUCAGCUCAAGAAUUCAAAAAAGGAACAGAUAUAACCACCGUUGUCACUGUCGGACGUUGAUCCGAAAAUGACAGCGGCGCUAGGGCAGCAAAUAUGAUUCUAUCACAAUGCAACAGCAUCAGACAGUUCAGAAAAUUUACAAAUGGACUAAGAAUAUUACCAGAAUAUAUUUCCGCAGCAUAAUUCCAAAUUAAUUUAUAAAAUGGAAACUCCAAUUGAUCAAAAUUAUAAAAACAAAGAGGCGAGUUGGACUGCAGGGUAAACAAAUGGAAAUCCCAGGGUCCAGGAUCCAGUAUGAGAAUUAUAGCAUAGAUCAUGGGCAGCAUUCGAUACAUACAACAUCAGGUCACAACCAGCGUAGCAGUCACUCGGACAAAGAACACGGGAUUAAUCUACCUGGCUUGGACGGAAAGAGAUCCUCCGGCAGAUCGACCUUGCCUUCCGCCAUCCAAAAGGUGCGGGGAUUGGAAUGAAAUAGGGCUUCGGGAUGGGCGCGGGGGCGGCCAGGAAACCAAAACCGGCGUCCAACGCCAGGCGACCUUGAGAGAACCGGGCAGAUCGGGGGACAGAGCUUCGGGAGGAGAGGGAGAACCGGAGGACUUGGACGACUCUGGAGCGAAGCAGACUGGAGAGUGGACGGCGGAGGGAGCAGACGAGGGCGCCGGGAAGUGGUUCGCUCGAACGGAUGGCAAAGGAGAGAAGAGGAGGGGUGAGGGUUUCAGAGGUCGAAACGGCGAAAGGAAGUGCGAUUUGGGGAGGGGAGAUCGUGGAAAAUAUCCGCGAGUACAGAUCCAAUUUCUCUUCUUUUAGGCGCCAAACCGUUCUCGAAAUCGCCGAGGACGCGCAAGAAAGUCCACCCCUAUUUCACUCUUACUCACCGCCACAUCAACGCACACACCCCCGCCCCCCGUCUCCAUCUGACGUGGACCUUCGUCUUAAAUCCUUUACUUAUUAUUAUUGGCGUCACCAAGCCGUAGAUUAAUUGGAUAUAAAGCCUUAUCUCAUUGGGCCCCAUUUCCAUCGAUGAACACUCCUACUCUCUCUCUCUCUCUCUACAUUCGUGGCAGCUUUCGGGCUCAGUAUCAGAUACGCUUACCACGAAAAACAUUAUAGAUAAGCCCGCAUAAAUCUUACAUUUUUUUAUUAAAUUGGAAUAUUAACGUUAAGUUCGAGUAAAAAAAAAACUUGACGGGCCGGGCCCGGAUUGGCCCGGCGGAUACUGCAAGAUAAAAAUUCUAUAGAAAGAACCGUCUGGGCAUGUCCGACAAGAGAAAUCCAGAGAAAAUGAGAGAAAAAAGACGGGGUGGGGCCCAUGAGGAAGAGAGAGAGUUGUGAUCUUCUACUGAACACGAAUCACUGCUACAGAGGGGGGGGAUUGGAAGGGGGGGGGGGGAUCAGACUCUCUACUGUCUGCCCUGCCGAAUGCAGAGAGAGAGAGAGAGAGAGAGAGAGAGAGAGAGAGAGUAACUCAGUUCAACCUCUGGGCGGCCUCCUUGGCGAGGAGCUUCUCCUUGGCCUUCGUCUUGGCCUGGGAUUUUGAGCCCAUGAUGCCGCCGCCCCACUUCUUUCUGAUCUCAUCGAACUUGUCGUUGAAGUUGGCCUGCACCCAUCAUCAAACAGUUGGCUGAGCAUAUCCAUCUCUUCCAAAGAAGGGGAGAGAGAGAGAGAGAGAGGGGAGAGGGAGGGAGAUGCCCACCUUGAUGGCCUCCAAUAUCUUGCUGAAUUCGAGCUUGUCCUCGUUCUUCACUGAAGUCAGGCAUAGAACGGAUGCGGUCUUCUUGUGAACGAUCUACCAAAGAUAAGAUAAAAAGGGGGCUUGUUGAGUGAAAUCUUCAUGAAAGGAGUUCCUAAAAGCCAGAGAAAUUAGGCUUGAUAAAGGAGUUCCUUACCGCUCCCAAGCGGGCCUUUCCUUUCACAAUGCAGUAUGGGAUCUCCAUCUUCCGGCACAGAGCCGGCAGCCAUACGACCAGCUCAAUUGGGUCGACAUCAUGAGCAAUAACAACCAGCUGGGCCUUGUUCUACAACGAGAUGAUGAAAUAAUACAGCAUCAGAAGCCACAGCUGAUGGUACGGAAAUCAAUCAAGUUGAAGUAGCCCUUCCGAAUACAAAGGGAAAACCAAAAAUAAAGGGCUGUUGGUAAAGGGAUAAUAUAAAGAAUCGUCAGGAGAGAUGGCGGCGCUACCUGCUCAAUAAGGUAAGUAAUGUGAUUAAGGCCAUACUUCACAACAAUGGGCUUCUUAACCUCCACGGUCUUGCCUUCGGCCUCAGCCUGCGCCCUCUUGAGAAGCCUCUCCUUCUUAGCGGCCUUGUCCUCUGGUCUGUACUUGAGGAGCAUCUUGAAGAGGUUGGUUGCUGCAAGUGGAGAUUUUUAGGACAUCAAGUAAGAAGGUGAUGCAUCACAGAAUCGUAGCACAAAUCCCGAACGCAAUGGCAUUCAUUGUUCAAAAUGAAACCCGAUCUUUAGUCCGAACAAAAAACAUUUAAAUUCGUGACAGGAAAACUACAACUUAUCUACACUCUGCUGUUUGUAAAAAAAACUGUAAGAUGCCACAAAUAGCAAAGUGGAUAAGUCAAAAUAACUAUGAAUAGGGUUUAUGCUCCUUAAACAUCCUUCAAUCACGGCAACUAACGUAACCAAGACUACUCGGACGUGGGCAUUUUCCACCACACCAAAGCUCCGACGAGCUCACACCGAUCUAACUUUCUAAAAUGGCAACGAAGGCAUAAUCAACCUCAAUUUCAGGCAAAAAAACAUAUCCAGUAUGAGAUUCGAACCAGAGAAGCAUAAAAUAACCAGUAAGCACAAUCGAAAAUAUGUAUAUCAUCAAAGAGCAAAUGUCACGGAUUAUAACAACGUUACCAAAGAGUGAAUAAAGAUCUCGACAAAGAUCUAGCGUCAUUAGCGAAUGUUAUCCGAAAUCAGUAUUAAUGUGCACAAAGGACAACAUCUAAAACACAACAAUCAAGCUUUGAAAACCAAUCUUUUUACCGAGGUUCUUGUCCAGAGUCCUGGUGAACUGAUUCAAGGCCGGGGGAACCUUCAACCGCUGCUUAAGAAUCCUUCUCUGCCUUUGAAUACGCACUACUUUCGGCCAUUUAACGAAACGGUGCAGGUCCCUCUUAGGAGGCAAGGCCCCUCCAAUUCCAAACUGUUUCGGGCGCUUCUCGAACAAUGGAUUUACCACCUUCUCCUGUACCGUAGCCAAUGAGUCGGAGACGAAAUCCAUAAGCAUACAUCCGCUGCAUUGGAAACCAAUGCGAUGACACAAGCAACAAAGGAACAGGCGAUGCGACAAAUACCGGUUUCUUCUUCGCAGGUACAGGGGCCUUCACACCUCUUUUGGGAGCCUGUGGGAUUCAAACCAGAAAAUCAGGAGCAAAGACGACAGCGGCCACGGCUAAAAAUUAUAAGCUGAUAAAUGCACACUCCAAAGAUUGGACAAGGCCAAAAAGCUCCAUUCCAGAUAAACACAGAUCUGAGACUGUUUGCUCGUGAUUCCAAAUUAAUACGAGUGGGCAAACAUGAGAAAAAACCCCAAGGAUAAUCAUUGCCGGCGUCUAACCAUCAUCAGGAAGGACAAACAAAUGGCUAGAUCACGUAUUCGGCGGAGUAAAACUGAGUAUCAAAAGAAGGUAAGGAAAAACGGAGCUGCAAGGUACCAUGUUCUUCAGCCUACGUCCAGAGACGGUGGCGGUGGCGGCCGUCCAGAAACCCUAAAACAAACUAGCACCCGCCAAGGAGGCAGACUGUGCAAGAAGACAAUUUAUACUUCGUCGAGGGAUGGAGUUUUAAAUAGAAACCCCUAUAAAUACUAUUAUUUCUUUUUUAGGCUCAUAUUUAUACUAUUAUGACAUUCAAACCCAUAAACGUCAAUAGGGAAAAGGCACGCAGCUGAGUCUGACUCCGAUCUGAGUUGACUCACUCUCUCACAAAGGCCAGAGAUAGGAAGAAGAGACCACUAAUAUGACCUUCCCGAAGGACCCGAACUACUGCCGCCCUGAUUGGCCUCGUUGACUUGGACCCAGGAGACCAUCAUCGCUCACAUCCCACUAUGCCGCACUAGCUUACGUGGCAUUGAAUUGACCAGAAAACAGUGUGGUCCAUUCUAUUCUAUGUACGAGUCUAAUACAUAUACAUGCUUGCAUUGUAAUAAAGAAAGUAAACAUAUACCCUAAAUAAAGUCUCAACGUUUCAUUGUUUCCAUAGGCAACAAAGCGAGUUAUUUUUAUUUUCAAAGUUUUAUCUAAAAAGGUUGUAGGAAUUUGACAAAUUUCCAAGUUAUCGCCACUACUUUGAUUCAAUCAGUGCAAACAUAUUACACAAUCUAAACUCCAUACUCCUUCAAAAUUGCAUAAAUCAGCAAGAAAAUUAGAAUUAUUAUUUUUAAAAUGAAAAAGAUAAGUGAGUGAAUGUAGAAUUUAUAAGAUUAAAAUUAAUUAAUUUUUUUGAAUAUGUAAAUUAAUGGGUUACUUGUUUUGUCCUGGAUCAUUAUCACAAAAUGCCAUUUAGCUAUAUUAUGGCAAAUAACAAGUGCAAGCCUACUCAAAAAAUCUCAUGUAAAUGCUUGUUUGCUACUAACUGAACCCCCCUCACCCCCCCCCCCCCGGUCAUCAACAUGCUUCCACUUCUCUAGUUUUUCACCAUGUUAGAUAAAUGGGGCCAUAAAUUAAAUUAGUGUGACUAAUGUAGAAUUUUGCUAAGGGAGUUUUAAUAAUUUUAGAUGACUUGCAUGGAUGGUAUGCUAUAAUAUAUGAGAGAUAACUAACAAUUUAUGUGUAAUUGGGAAAUGAUUACACUCAUGCUCUUGUACCAUUGUUCUAGUUUGGUACAACCAGCAAUAGUAAGUGUUGGGGGGCGACAUUCUUGGUUGAUUUAUAUGACAAGAUGCAAAAAGUAAUGCCAACGUAAUAAUAAGGAAUUGUGGAUAAUUUACACAUUUUUUAAAAGUAGCACAGUUACCCUUUUUGCCCAUUACAAGUUAUAUUUAAGUUUUGUUGAUUUUUGUGAGCGUUCUAAAUUACAAUAAAAGGGUAAAUAUAAUAUAAUUGUAAUGAAAAUCACAUUUUUCUUAAGUCUGUUAGUAUAAAAAAAUCGAAUGUUCAUCAACUAUUAUCAUCAUAAUAGUUUAAACUUUUUAUUAUGAAUCUUGAACAUCAAUCACAUCAAUGCAAGGAACCCAAAUUGACCCAACAUUGAAGCAAGCUAAAUUGUCAAUUGGAAACAGUUCAACUUAUUUAGUUCUUGGAGAUUCUCAUAAGGUUAUUGAGCAUCAUAGAUCUUUAUGUAAUGUGUAAGGACCAGAUCAGCUGCAAGAUUGUGAUCCAAUUUGAGAUUGAAUGGAUUUAGUGAAAUUUGGCGGUCAACAUCUCCGAACAUCAAGAUAGUCCAAUGGAGUCAGCUCAUAUUGGAACCCAUGAAACCUUAGGUCCACCUUCCACACGAGAGAGAGAGAGAGAGAGAGAGAGAGAGAGAGAGAGAGAGAAUGGGCCAGCUGUGGGCAACUCAUCUGAUUAACACAUUGGAUACGACACAUAGUUUAUCUGCAUACGCAGCAUUAUAACUACAAGAUCGGAUGAAGAAUCAAUCAACGAGAUGCCCCUCUUGGGAAUAAUUUACAGAGUGUCAUUGUUAUGAAAAAAAUAUGAUCCAUCAUCUAGAAACAAGAUUUCUCCCAAAGCCUACCCCUAAUAAACACGAAUAAAUAAAAACAUUAACUAUUGAAUUAAAGGUGCCAGGAUUCACACAAUCCCAUCAGUAAAACCAAGGAUGCAUCCUGACGAGGAGAUUCUGCACACCGAGAAGCUUUUUCUCAAGAUUGUUUCCUUUUGCUAUGUGUUAGGAUCUGAGUUAUUCCAGCUUACGUAAGAAUUCCUGCAUAAAUUCCAGAUGUUUACGGAUUUCCAAACAAAUGGAAACUCUCUGAUUUGCUGAAGAUGCUUGCCCUCUUCUGUAAACAUCACAAUCAUCACUGGGCACUCACUAGAAAACACAGCUUUUCCAUGCUCCACAAGACUCUAUGACCAGCAAAAAAAUGGCGUAGUUGAGGUUACAGUAUAUCAAAAACUAGACAAUACUUACAGGGCACUCCAAAGUAAUUGCCUUAUUUAUGCUCCUGGAAGGAUAUCUUACGGGACAAAAAUGGCUAAUACAUGUUUUCCCUUGAUGGAAAACAUCUCACUCAAUAAUUACUGGGCACUUGAAAGUAUAAUCACCCUUUGUAUGCACUUUGUGAUCCUCUGGCAGGCCAAGAAAGACAGCCAUAUCCUUGCCCCUCUGUAGUAAAAAAAAUCCCAACAAUUACUGGGCACUUGAAAGUCAUCACCACAUAUGUGCCAUCUCGAGGCUCACUGAUAGGCCAAAGACGGCAAAACUCUUGCUUGCCCAAUGCAGAAAAUAUCCCAAAGACUGCCAGGCACCAGAAUUCGGCGUUUUAUAUGGUUUUCACCUUUUAUACGGCUUGAAAUGGUAAUUCUGGAAUUCGGCGCCGAAUUUCAGGGACUCUUCCUCAACCUUCGUCUUCAGUCUCCGCCAAGUUCUCACCAUGUCCGCCUGAAUGAGCCCUCGGUAGAGCGUCUCAAAUGUGACCUUCUGAGGGAGAAACCCCUUCUCUAUCAUCUCCAUGAAGAAUCGGCAGGCCUCCUUCCACCGCUGCUUCUGACAGAGCCCAUGGAUGAUCGAAGUAUAUGAAUCCAUGUCUGGCCCCACCCCUCUCUCGCUCAUGUCCUCCCAAAGCUCCCGAACAAGCUCUGAGCGGUCCAACUGCGAGAACAUCCCCACCAGGAUGUUGUAGGUGUGGAUAUCUGGUGGAGUGAGAGAUCCCCCAGUCGCCGCUGCUGUCUUCAUCUUCCUGUACAGCUUAACUGCAGAGUCCACAUCUUUCCUCCCACGGUAUUCCUUGAAGAAGCAAUUGUAGGUGGCGGCAGAAGGGUGAACUCCAUCGCUGGACAUGUCGUCGAGCAGUUUCUCGGCGUCGUCCAUCCUGCCGCAGGAAGCAAGGCACUUGAUCACGGAGGUGUAGGUGGCCACGGUGGGGCAGAUACCCUUCUCCAUCAUGGCACGGAAGAGGGAAAGGGAAAGCUCGGGCUUGUGUGCGCGGCUGUAGACGUGGAGGAGGAUCGAGUAGCUGGUGACAUCGGGCUCGAUGCCUCUGCUGCGCAUUUCCUCGAAUAGGUCUUCAGCGGCGCGAAUUGUCCCAUCGAAGCGGGUGUCCGGGUGGAGGCUCGCUCUUCUGCAGAUCCCAUUGAGCAGGACGUUGUAGGAGACCACGUUAGGCUCUAGACCGCGAUCGGAGAUCUCCCUCAAGAACUUUGCCGCCAUCUGCGGGCGAUUUAUCUUGCACCAUCCGUACAUCAAGAUCGUGUAGGUCUUCUCGUCGGGUGGGUAUCUGGACUUCCUCUUGUUGAAGAUAUCCGCGGCCAGCUUCGAUCCACAAAGACGGGGGUGGCGCAAAGAUCAGGAGAAAAAAAUGGCAGGAGAAGAGGAAGAAGAAGACGACGGCGAUGGCGAGCAGUGGGGGAGCCUCACUUUGACGUAGCCGUACUUGCAGAGGGUGUCCAGUAGGAGGUUGAACUCGGUGCCGUCGGGCGGCCGUCCGACGAAGGCCUCCAUGUCGUCGAAGGCUCUGAGGGCUUGCCGUGUGAGGCCGGCGGCGGUGAGUCGACGGACGAGGACGGCGAAGGUCCUCGGGGAAGGUCCCACGCCGAUCUGGUCCAUCUCCAUCACCAGCUGCCACACCACGUCGAAUUGGCGGACCUUCCCGAGGAGAUCGACCAUGAGAUCGUAAGCGUCGGCGUCGUGGCGGUGCCCUGCGUGGUCCCUGGCCCAGAGGAAGAACCCUAGUGCGACCUUGGAGGCAUUACGGAGGCGGAGGAGCGUCUGGAACACGAGGCCAUGGGAGAGCGCCACUGUGCCGGUUAGCUGGAGGGGGGAUUCCAUGGCGUGGAAGGGAUUGUGGUGGCCGAUGAGGAGGCGGGAGAGGGAAUCGGCGUCGGCGCAGGCCUGGAUGGAGCAGGCAAAGGAGAGCUUCGGGGGGCCUCCCACGAGCUCCGGCUCCGGCCAUUGUUCUCCUCCAUUCUCUGCUGUCGCCGGCGAGGUGCCAUGGAAGAAAUUCAAUGGGACGGAGCACAGAUGAGGAAGAAAGGCGGAGGGGGAGGAGGAGGAGAGAGGAGGUAGGCAGCGGCGGUGGCGGAGUAUCAUCGCCGGCGCCACCGCAAGGGUUUCCCGCUGCCUGGGCCUUCUUCCUGACGUUUCCCACUUCAACCCAAAAGCCCAUAAAAUAACCCUAUAUUUUUUAAAUUUAUAAAUCAACCCCACAAUGUUUCUCAAAAUCUGGAAUCUCGGAACAAAAAAACUGAACAACCGAAAUCUAUCUGAAUUCAGAAAAUUUGCAAAUUUGAGGAAAAUAAUUUAUUCGUAAAUAUUUGCCCCGCCUGGGUCUUCUUCCUGAGGUUUCCACUUCUCCCCAAAAGUCAAUUAAUAUUCAUAAAUAGCCCUAAAAUUUACAUAAUUUCAAAUAAUACCCUCAUGUUUCAAAAAUAACAACUGAUAACCUAUAGGAAUCCAGAAAAUGUACAAAUCUUAGGAGAAUAUUUUCCCUUAUACCCCCCCCCCCGCCCCUUUCCCAUUAUUUACAUUUCAGUGGAGCGACCGCUGGACAAGUCUUUCCGGGGUCGUCGUGGUCGUCGGAGUCGUCCUCAGCGCGCCGUCGAUGGCUGGAAGCUCAUGCAGAUCGGCGGGUUGAUCUUGAAGAUGGAGAGGACGGCGGAGGGCACGGUCCAUAUGCCGUCGCCGCAGAUCAGGCCGGAGGCCACGGCGCCGGCGAAGUCCUCGGCGCUCUUCCGGUUGAUCCGCUCCCAGAUGAAGAGGAUGACGGUGCCGACGAACAUGUCGAUGGCGAAGUACGCGCCGAUGUAGAAGGGGACCGCCAUGGCCAUGGGGAUGGGGAUGAACCUGGAGAUCCUCACCGGAGUGACGUCCCGCAGGAGGUUGAUGAGCAGCGCAGCCGCGAAGAAGCCGCAGCAGAUGGCCAGGCAGUGCUUCGGCAGCGCGGAGAAGCCCUCCACUCCGAGGAUCGCCAUCUCCCGGUAGAUCACGGCGUAGGGGGCCUUGUAGGCGCCGUCGGGGGCGCCGAUGUCGAACGCCGUCCAGUACAUCCAGAAUGUGAGCGGCGCGAUCACGCAGCCCAUGGCCGUGCCGAUCAGCUGCGACAGGAACAUGGAUCUCGGCGAGGAGAGCGUCAGGUAGCCCGUCUUGAAGUCCUGCAUCAGAUCGGCGGCGGUCGAGACGAUGGACAUCAUGACGCCGCAGGCGGCGAGGCCGGCGACGACGCCGCCGUCGGAGCCGACCAGCGAGGCGAAGACGAAGAGCCCGAUCUUGCCGUAGGUGGACGCGAGGCUCCAGUCCGUGAGACCGGUGCCGUAGGAGUUGCAGAAGGCGAGGGCGGGGGCGACCAGGUAGCAACAGAGAACCAGGUACCAUCGCACCUGCGGGAAGAUCAUCGGCACGGCGGCUGUGGAGACGGCGGCGAGAGCGACGUACCCCGAGGCGGCGAACCAGGAAGGGAUGCCGUCUCUGACAAACGUCUCGUUCCGCAGCCUCUCCUCCACCAAGGCCUUGGACGUCUCUCCAUCUGCAAGUUGAAGAUCAGAUCAACUCCCAGGGAGGUAGAUUUUUCUUUAUUUUUUGGUUAUUUUCCUUUUUCAGUAUUCUGAUUGCUAGAUCGCAGAUUCGCCGGGAUUUCAUGAUAUGCAUCAUCGAUCACAGCAUACUUUUGUGUUCUGGAACUUGAGAGAAUUUUACCCUGGGAGGCGCCCACGAGGGGAAGGCCGGGCUCCUUGGUUUGAACGUUGAAGAUCUCCCUCACGGUGAUCGUUACUAUCUUUAUCAGAUUGUACAACCCAUCUCCAAGUAUGAGGGAUAUGGCAAUGAAGACCUGCAGAUGAUCAGAGAUUCAGUGCCUGCGUAAGAGAUUUAUGAACGGAGUUUUGUUGGGCGCUGCAAAUUCCCACAGGAUGAGCAGCAUGAAGCGGGCACCAUCGAGAGGUCUAUUGACCAUUUUACCUUGUAUCCAUAGAGGCCUUUGAAGUCACUGCUCCCCAGGCCAGCAGGAUACCAAUCCCCUGCACGCUCUGCGAUGAAUGGCCAAAGGAUGCCCCAUGAAAUAAUGGCUCCAAAGAGGACCGAGCAGUUCACGAUGUGAGGGCAGAUGAGACCGCAGCCGACAUAAGUGGGACUGAAGUCAAAGUAAAACCUGCGCAUUAAACAGUCACGAAGGUGAAGUACUCGACAACAUUCAUCGAUUUAUUUCAGGAUUCUGUGGUGACAUGAUGGCGCAUGAUUUUUUAUUUUUUUGUGGAUAAUGCCUAUUUUGGGCUUCAUUGUCGACCUGACUAGACGUACGUUAAGCAAUAUUUGUAAACAUAGCAAGAAGUUAAUUCGCCGAAUUCUCAUAUGAAUGAACUAUGUUUUCCAGAAGAAAUUAUGAGAGUCUCCGGUAUUCAAAUAAAGGGUACUAUGCGUUUAUCAUCCAUAUUCUUGCAUAUUAGAUGAUUGUUAACGUUAAACCCUGGCAACAUCAUGCUCGCUUUCAUGCAUGUCGCACCAAUGAAGUAUGAAAUAUCACACUUUUGGAUGCAGGUGCGUAUCAAAUAAGAAAUGGAACAAGAAAAGAAGAUUAGGAGCAGGAGAGAGUUACGUGUUCUUGUAAGCUACGAGCCCAAGGGUUGGGAAAUUAUCGAAACCACAUGAAUCCCCAAUUCCGCUGAAAAACCAUUUGAAACAGCUCCAGAAGAAGCUUAUGCUCAGGUACUUUCCGAGGUACUGGACUUGCUUCCUGUAAGUAGCAGAGCAUGGCCCAUUAGUGAUACGAAUUUAGCACUACAAUUGCCCAGUCAGGAGAGUUGCAACAUCUGACAUAGCAUAGAAAGCAGAGAAUUUUGACAAAGUCCUUCAGAAUAUCAUUUAAAGUUAAGGUUUUUUGCUUCAUGGUGUCUGAUAUUUAACCUCAGAGAUAUUGUUUCAGGGUAUGAUGGUCGGUCAAUUUCAUCCCUCCAAUCCAGUUCUGAUCUGUUUAAGGAAGUCACGGACCCCUGAAUCCCUCAAGGAUUGUUAGCCGAAUGCUUCUGUUUCUUCAGGUGCCCUGUUGAUUAAUUCUCAAUCACAAUUAUGGCAUCUGUUCAUUUAAUAAUAUAGAUAUUUCGACUCGUUUACUGGUUUCUUAUUUUUCGUUGUUCUUUUUGUUUUAUCUUCUGACAGUUCAUUCCUACACAUAGGUCAACACAAGUGUUCCAAUUUAUUGUGCUCAAUCUUUUUUAGUACUUUUUUUUUCCAUUCAGCUCGUCAUAUUUGCCUCCUUUUCUAGAUUCUGAAAGGUACGGAACUAUAAUUUUCAAGCAGCUUUCAAGAUAAUGCACCCACAGAGAAAAAAGGUUAGUGAUGGAUCCUCAGAAAUUAAAUUAUAAUUUUUUUUUCUUCUGAAUGUAUGAAGCGUUAGAAUGAGGCAGCGGGAGUUCUCCAAGUGUAUCAUUACCCUGCGCGUUCUGCUCCCGUGUUCGUAUGAAAACUAUUAAUCAGCAAUGCAGUAGCUGUCCCACUGGGGUAUGUAAGUUUAUAGUCAAUGACCAUAACCUGGAUAAGAAAAAAAAAGGAAAAAAAACGUAUAAGCAUCCGAAAUUGAGAUCAUUCGUGAGCAGAACCAUUUAAGAAAAUAAACUACGUUGAUCCUUCAUUCGAACAAUACUAGGAUUGUUUUCUAUAUUUCACAAACCGGCCCUUUAUUCCCUCACAUCUGGCUACGCUGUUGUCGUUCCAUCCUCUUCAUUACUCUCAAUAUUCCACCAUUAUUCCCUACAAUAGUCACAAUAUUUUCUGAUUUUAUAUUUUUUUUUUGGUGGUUCAUCAGAUUUCCAGGGGGCAUACGGGGAUAGUUUUUCGGAGAAAUAAAUUCAUGUCUCAGAGCAAGAGGAAACGAACCCACUCUCAUUGCAAUAUGUAUAUUCCUCACCUCUGUUUUAACCUCUAGAGUCACAUAAUCUGACAUAAUUUCCAUGAGCAAUGAGAGGGCCAAAAGUUUGGAGGAUUUUAAGUUGCAUUUAUCGCCACAGAUCUUGAUCUCUUAGUUGAUUAUUGACAUCAGAAUGCAGGCAGAUGAAUAAGUGGCGAUCGAGCACCUUGCGCAGAGGAACGAGGCUGAAGAGCCCUAGAAAACUGACGACGAACAUGAAACCGAUCAUCCAACCCAGCGACGGAUUCUUGACGUCUUCCGCCCUGUUGCCUGGGUAGUCGGCGCCUAUGAGUUCAUACGUCCUCUGAUCCAUGGCAAUCAUGUACGAUCCGAAGCCACCUGAACGAAGAACUCGGUUCAGGAACCGGUCUAGAGAGUGAAACAAAUCCAUUACCGGCGGUCUGAUUCUUUCCUUUUCAGGUGAAAACCGGUGGGGGACUCCCCGAGAGAUUCUAAUGGGCAUCCAAAUCGAGAUCGUGGCCCCCGAGCAAGACUGGGAGGACGGCGCGGGCAGAAAUGGCAAUUACCGCUGAAGGCGAGGCCGUAGCAGGCCACGACGCAGGUCUGGAUGACGGUGUUCUCCUGCGGCGUGAACGGGACGGUCCAGAUGCCGAGCUUGGAGAGCAACCC